RNAcentral lists this ribosomal RNA (804 nucleotides) under Staphylococcus sp. 7-C-237-7. Its description in RNAcentral is "bacterial SSU rRNA". It matches the Rfam family "Bacterial small subunit ribosomal RNA", at positions 87 to 877 of the family's 1533-position model. Lineage: Bacteria; Bacillati; Bacillota; Bacilli; Caryophanales; Staphylococcaceae. The record is from RNAcentral.
UGACGUUAGCGGCGGACGGGUGAGUAACACGUGGGUAACCUACCUAUAAGACUGGAAUAACUCCGGGAAACCGGGGCUAAUGCCGGAUAACAUUUAGAACCGCAUGGUUCUAAAGUGAAAGAUGGUUUUGCUAUCACUUAUAGAUGGACCCGCGCCGUAUUAGCUAGUUGGUAAGGUAACGGCUUACCAAGGCAACGAUACGUAGCCGACCUGAGAGGGUGAUCGGCCACACUGGAACUGAGACACGGUCCAGACUCCUACGGGAGGCAGCAGUAGGGAAUCUUCCGCAAUGGGCGAAAGCCUGACGGAGCAACGCCGCGUGAGUGAUGAAGGUCUUCGGAUCGUAAAACUCUGUUAUUAGGGAAGAACAAAUGUGUAAGUAACUAUGCACGUCUUGACGGUACCUAAUCAGAAAGCCACGGCUAACUACGUGCCAGCAGCCGCGGUAAUACGUAGGUGGCAAGCGUUAUCCGGAAUUAUUGGGCGUAAAGCGCGCGUAGGCGGUUUCUUAAGUCUGAUGUGAAAGCCCACGGCUCAACCGUGGAGGGUCAUUGGAAACUGGGAAACUUGAGUGCAGAAGAGGAAAGUGGAAUUCCAUGUGUAGCGGUGAAAUGCGCAGAGAUAUGGAGGAACACCAGUGGCGAAGGCGACUUUCUGGUCUGUAACUGACGCUGAUGUGCGAAAGCGUGGGGAUCAAACAGGAUUAGAUACCCUGGUAGUCCACGCCGUAAACGAUGAGUGCUAAGUGUUAGGGGGUUUCCGCCCCUUAGUGCUGCAGCUAACGCAUUAAGCACUCCGCCUGGG